UACGAAGGGGGCUAGCGUUGUUCGGAAUUACUGGGCGUAAAGCGUGCGCAGGCGGCUUUGCAAGACAGAUGUGAAAUCCCCGGGCUCAACCUGGGAACUGCAUUUGUGACUGCAAGGCUAGAGUACGGCAGAGGGGGAUGGAAUUCCGCGUGUAGCAGUGAAAUGCGUAGAUAUGCGGAGGAACACCGAUGGCGAAGGCAAUCCCCUGGGCCUGUACUGACGCUCAUGCACGAAAGCGUGGGGAGCAAACAGG
This 253-nucleotide ribosomal RNA is filed under the name uncultured bacterium. Its description in RNAcentral is "partial 16S ribosomal RNA". It matches the Rfam family "Bacterial small subunit ribosomal RNA", at positions 524 to 776 of the family's 1533-position model. The record is from RNAcentral.